CCUACGGGAGGCAGCAGUGGGGAAUAUUGCACAAUGGGGGAAACCCUGAUGCAGCGACGCCGCGUGAGUGAAGAAGUAUUUCGGUAUGUAAAGCUCUGUCAGCAGGGAAGAAAAUGCCGGUACCUGACUACGAAGCCCCGGCUAAAUACGUGCCAGCAGCCGCGGUAAUCCGUAGGGGGCAAGCGUUAUCCGGAUUUACUGGGUGUAAAGGGAGCGUAGACGGCUAAUCAAGUCAGAAGGGAAAACCCAGGGCUCAACUUUGGGACUGCUUUUGAAACUGAGUAGCUAGAGUGCAGGAGAGGUAAGCGGAAUUCCUAGUGGAGCGGUGAAAUGCGUAGAUAUUAGGAGGAACACCAGUGGCGAAGGCGGCUUACUGGACUGUAACUGACGUUGAGGCUCGAAAGCGUGGGGAGCAAACAGGAUUAGAUACCCGGGUAGUC
RNAcentral lists this ribosomal RNA (440 nucleotides) under uncultured bacterium. RNAcentral's name for it is "partial 16S ribosomal RNA". It matches the Rfam family "Bacterial small subunit ribosomal RNA", at positions 338 to 795 of the family's 1533-position model. The record is from RNAcentral.